RNAcentral lists this small RNA (1354 nucleotides) under Pongo abelii (Sumatran orangutan). Its description in RNAcentral is "processed transcript". The record is from RNAcentral. Lineage: Eukaryota; Metazoa; Chordata; Mammalia; Primates; Hominidae.
AACAGUUGUGUGACGCCAUUUGGCCAAGCUUGCGGGGCUUCAAAAUGCAGUUUGAGAGGACAGGAAGCAGAUUUGGAGCAAGAGGUGGUGGUGGCCUUCCCCCGAAGAAAUUUGGUAAUCCUGGGGAGCGUUUGCGUAAAAAAAAGUGGGAUUUGAGUGAGCUCCCCAAGUUUGAGAAAAAUUUUUAUGUGGAACAUCCGGAAGUAGCAAGGCUGACACCAUAUGAGGUUGAUGAGCUACGCCGAAAGAAAGAGAUUACAGUGAGGGGGGGAGAUGUUUGUCCUAAACCCGUGUUUGCCUUCCAUCAUGCUAACUUCCCACAAUAUGUAAUGGAUGUGUUGAUGGAUCAGCACUUUACAGAACCAACUCCAAUUCAGUGCCAGGGAUUUCCAUUGGCUCUUAGUGGCCGGGAUAUGGUGGGCAUUGCUCAGACUGGCUCUGGCAAGACGUUGGCGUAUCUCCUGCCUGCAAUUGUUCAUAUUAACCACCAGCCAUACUUGGAAAGGGGAGAUGGCCCAAUCUGUCUAGUUCUGGCACCUACCAGAGAGCUUGCCCAGCAAGUACAGCAGGUGGCCGAUGACUAUGGCAAAUGUUCUAGAUUGAAGAGUACUUGUAUUUAUGGAGGUGCUCCUAAAGGUCCCCAGAUUCGAGACUUGGAAAGAGGUGUUGAGAUCUGCAUAGCCACUCCUGGACGUCUGAUAGAUUUCCUGGAGUCAGGAAAGACAAAUCUUCGCCGAUGUACUUACCUUGUAUUGGACGAAGCUGACAGAAUGCUUGAUAUGGGGUUUGAACCCCAGAUCCGUAAAAUUGUUGACCAAAUCAGGCCUGAUAGGCAGACAUUGAUGUGGAGUGCAACCUGGCCAAAAGAAGUAAGACAGCUUGCAGAGGAUUUCCUUCGUGAUUACACCCAGAUCAACGUAGGCAAUCUGGAGUUGAGUGCCAACCACAACAUCCUCCAGAUAGUGGAUGUCUGCAUGGAAAGUGAAAAAGACCACAAGUUGAUCCAACUAAUGGAAGAAAUAAUGGCUGAAAAGGAAAACAAAACAAUAAUAUUUGUGGAGACAAAGAGACGCUGUGAUGAUCUUACUCGAAGGAUGCGCAGAGACGGUUGGCCAGCUAUGUGUAUCCAUGGAGACAAGAGUCAACCAGAAAGAGAUUGGGUACUUAAUGAGUUCCGUUCUGGAAAGGCACCCAUCCUUAUUGCUACAGAUGUAGCCUCCCGUGGGCUAGAAGCUUUGAUAUCAGCUGCAGAUCACUCAAUACAUGGCCGAGACAAAUCUACAUUGGCCGGAAGCAGCUCUAGAUGAGCCUCUUGGCUAGACUUAGUCCCUCCUAAUUAGUGAUUGGAGAUUCA